This 253-nucleotide ribosomal RNA is filed under the name uncultured bacterium. Its description in RNAcentral is "partial 16S ribosomal RNA". It matches the Rfam family "Bacterial small subunit ribosomal RNA", at positions 524 to 776 of the family's 1533-position model. The record is from RNAcentral.
UACGGAGGGUGCGAGCGUUAUCCGGAAUCACUGGGUUUAAAGGGUGCGUAGGCGGCUCGAUAAGUCAGUUGUGAAAGCCCCUUGCUUAACGAGGGAGGUGCAAUUGAUACUGUCGAGCUUGAAUCGGGAUGAGGCAGGCGGAAUGUGGCAUGUAGCGGUGAAAUGCAUAGAUAUGCCAUAGAACACCGAUUGCGAAGGCAGCCUGCUGGGCCUGUAUUGACGCUGAGGCAGGAAAGCGUGGGGAGCAAACAGG